CCAACAAACUCAGAUUCCAUCAGACACUAAAAAUAAAUGAGCCUUGCAUCAUGCCCUGAAGGUCAAGAGACAGGCUCUGAUGGACUCCCAAGUGAAGUGAACUCCCGAAGCAAGGGUCCUCAACCAUGGAGGUUCCACUGCCACGAGUGCACCUGCAGCAGCACAAAGUGUUCAAAUACAGAGAUAGGACCAUCCGGGUCUGGAGGGAAGUCAUCCCUCCUUUCCAAAGUAUUGCAAGGUGGCCCCUCAGGUGUGUAUCACUCCUAUGAGAUGGGAAAGAAGCAGGAUCAUAAAGUAGAUGCUGGAGCAUUAUAUUGAGGACCCAUUAAAUCCGAUCCUAGCAGCGUGAGCACACUGCAGCCAAAGCACAAGGUUGUGCUGAUCAGAACUCCAAUGGCUCCAUCUGAUUUUCGGCAAAGACAAACAGGAAUGCUUUCUUUUCUACUUGACUCAAAUAUAUGAAGCACAUCAGAAAGCUGAGUACCUGAGGAGCACAGAAGAAAGCACUGCCCAAGUGAGAAACAUUGGUAAGGACUUGCUGUGCUGGGUUCUGCAGGAUUCUGACCUCUUUGGUGGGCUGAGAAGCAACUUCCUGGGGCUCUUCUCCUCUUUGUUCUUUUGAUUCCACAAGACAAAGUAUGGCAAAAAACUAGUGGUGGUACUUCCCCAGACACCAAACUCUCAUGACAAAGUGUGAUGUCACCCUCAGAUUGCACAGAUCAUCCCUCUCCUUUCUUACUUACUUUAAUCAGCAGUGAAAUAGUUAAUAAUGCUGAUAUUUCAAUCUCGCUUUUCCCCAAUAACAGCUGCAGGUUGGCAUGGCUAAAUCUCUCACUGACACAGAAAACAUCCACUUAAGUAAACAGUGCAUUAAGGGAAGGGUGGAGUAUUUUCAGAUCGACACUGUGCUUUUAAUUAAAUGUGCAGCACUUAGGUAUUAGUGAUGGUUGCUUAUAAAUACACAGACAGCUGCAAUUUGAAGAGAAGGGUAAAAAAUAUGCACUUGGUAACUGGAACUGUCAGCUACAUAACAUUGUCUCAAAGAUGAAAAUACUAAGUGGUUUAGUAAAUGGGUGUUUUUAAAAGGCAGCAAGGUAAAAAGAUGGGCAGGCUUGGGAUAAAUUUAAGACUGCAAACAAUUUAGAUGGCCAGACUGCUAAAAAGAAAGCUGUGCAGUGACAGAAAGCAUCAGAAAUGCUCCCAAAAGACAGUAGCAAAUACAAAAUUGAUGUAGGUGUAAACAAAAAGUAGUCUACUGUCAACACCUUUGGUUUGUGUAUUAUACUUGGCUGACGAUUCAGUGCAAAAUUAAGUGAACAAAAUUAAUUUUUCCCUUUAUUGUGAUCCCGGUAUCUUAUGAGUUUCUUGAAUUCAAAUGCAUUUUCCAUUCAAAUGCAUAUUUACAUUUGACUCUUGUGGAAAUAAUUAGUCUUAUUUCCUACAAAUGCAGUUUCAGAUAAACUGAAGAAAAUCUAGAUUUUUGUAGUCUGUCUAGUGUCUUCAACCACAGAUAUAAUCUAUUUGGAUUUUUAAAAGAUAUUUCUGAAACUGAGAAGUUACACAGGCUUUGUUCCCAGAUGCCAUCAGGUAAAUGAUACACAUUUUGUAUGCAAACAAUUAUUUUAUUUGCAUCUUGGCAUUAACAUGACAUUUGAGUGGGGUCAGCAGCUUGUUUUUACAAGAUAUAGUAUUUUCAAAAGGACCAAGAAGAGUCAGAUAUCAAAUCUAUUUUUAUUGCCCUUAGUUUGCCCAAAUACACAAAUUGUGCCUAUUCACUUGAUGGUGUCCCUUUUAACAUUAUCCACAGGUCAUCAUGUGAGAUACACCAAAUUUAGAACAACUAGCAAAUAGUACAAUAUUGGUAAAGGAUACUGACAAAGCAGAAUCUCACUAAUUUUUAAAUGUAGAGAGUCAAAAGGAUAAAUGAGUUUGUAAGUAAAAAAAAAACCUCAAUUAUCCCUUUGGGAAACCUGUUGCAUGCAAGAUUAAUUUUCAAAAUAUAUUCCAUGGAAUCUCAAAAGGUGUGACAAGUGCAUGCAGGGAAAAACUUGCAACAACAAAUCCUAUACCAAAACACAUUUAAUGGAGUUAUGCAAACAAAGUUAUCAUAAUUCUCAAACGAGUAGUUAAUUUUAACAAAGUCCCUGAAUCCUAUGUUUCCAAACUUUUCAAAGAUUUGGUUGGUCAGCAGAACCCGAUCAAAUAAAAGACAAAUACAAGACAUUUAAUUUAAAACAAGGGCUGUAAAAAUAGUUAUUAGUGAAGUGGUUGUGUCACUAAAAGCCUUUUUUCAGAUAAUGAAGGAUGUACUUCAUUCCAAGAUGUCUGCUGAGGUGGUAUUUUAUCUCAUUGUGCAAAUGCAGCAUUUUACCAGCAGAACCAAAUGCUGUGUUGCAUAAAGCUAAUUUAACACAGUGCUUCUACAAGCCCAAUAAAUAAGCAUACAAAUUUUACUGAAGGCUAAUAUCAACCAUUUAAAAACAUACAUUAGCAAACCGGGCUAUGCCAUACUACAGCAGAAAGCACAGUCUAAGAAAGAUAGGCAUCCUGGGGAAGUUAUCUGCUUCUCUUAUUGUAAGUGCAAGUCAAGCGAGCAAGUAAUAAAAAUGUUUCAAAAUCAAUUUUAUAACAGUUGAAAAACUAAUGCAAUUUUAUUGUGUUUUAUAACUGUAAUGAAUAAUAGCAUGCUGAAUUGGGAAAUUCUUAAGAAACUACUAAUGGGAGUCCGUGCUUUGGUAGUCAGCUUUCACAUUUAAAAUGUAUUAGAAACAUUCUAGGAGCUCUUUCCAGAUGCCACUCAAUGCAGUGUGUAAGUCCCUUCCAAUCUGAAGAACAAAGAUUCAACAAUGCAACAGUUCAGGUAACAUGAAAAAAAAGUCACUCUGCCAACUGUUCGGCAAUUGCAUAAUGUGGCAGCAAUUAUUUCUUG
This is a long non-coding RNA of Caretta caretta (loggerhead turtle), 2929 nucleotides long. RefSeq lists it as uncharacterized. The record is from RefSeq and is a predicted model, not a curated record. NCBI's taxonomy places the organism in Eukaryota, Metazoa, Chordata, Testudines, Cheloniidae.